GCGGCGUGCUUAACACAUGCAAGUCGAACGAUGAACCACUUCGGUGGGGAUUAGUGGCGAACGGGUGAGUAACACGUGGGCAAUCUGCCCUGCACUCUGGGACAAGCCCUGGAAACGGGGUCUAAUACCGGAUACUGACCCGCUUGGGCAUCCAAGCGGUUCGAAAGCUCCGGCGGUGCAGGAUGAGCCCGCGGCCUAUCAGCUUGUUGGUGAGGUAAUGGCUCACCAAGGCGACGACGGGUAGCCGGCCUGAGAGGGCGACCGGCCACACUGGGACUGAGACACGGCCCAGACUCCUACGGGAGGCAGCAGUGGGGAAUAUUGCACAAUGGGCGAAAGCCUGAUGCAGCGACGCCGCGUGAGGGAUGACGGCCUUCGGGUUGUAAACCUCUUUCAGCAGGGAAGAAGCGAAAGUGACGGUACCUGCAGAAGAAGCGCCGGCUAACUACGUGCCAGCAGCCGCGGUAAUACGUAGGGCGCGAGCGUUGUCCGGAAUUAUUGGGCGUAAAGAGCUCGUAGGCGGCUUGUCACGUCGGUUGUGAAAGCCCGGGGCUUAACCCCGGGUCUGCAGUCGAUACGGGCAGGCUAGAGUUCGGUAGGGGAGAUCGGAAUUCCUGGUGUAGCGGUGAAAUGCGCAGAUAUCAGGAGGAACACCGGUGGCGAAGGCGGAUCUCUGGGCCGAUACUGACGCUGAGGAGCGAAAGCGUGGGGAGCGAACAGGAUUAGAUACCCUGGUAGUCCACGCCGUAAACGGUGGGCACUAGGUGUGGGCGACAUUCCACGUCGUCCGUGCCGCAGCUAACGCAUUAAGUGCCCCGCCUGGGGAGUACGGCCGCAAGGCUAAAACUCAAAGGAAUUGAC
Molecule: ribosomal RNA, 861 nt
Filed under: Streptomyces sp. Sp080513M2-18
Lineage: Bacteria; Bacillati; Actinomycetota; Actinomycetes; Kitasatosporales; Streptomycetaceae
Description: bacterial SSU rRNA
Rfam family: Bacterial small subunit ribosomal RNA
Source: RNAcentral